GGAGUGCAGAAAUGUAUGUUAUACAAUACUUCUAUCGAUAAGUGCCGUAUCCUUUACAUGAAUUGUGAGGAAAGCUACUUAGAAAGCUCUUAUAUGUAUCGUGCUUGAUUAGCUUUGUUUUUAGGAAGUCAAAAUUAAUGGAAUAAGUUCGUUUAAAUACUAAAGAAUAUUUAUGAAAGUCCUCAGUAAUUAAAACAAUGACAGAUUUUCGCUUCGGAAAGAAAACAGAAACGUCUGUUAUGGCGUUUUUCGUGUCUUGUUCUGUAUGCAAUGUGCCAUCCAUUAUUUGAAGCAGUAGGGUCAUUGUCUGUCGAAGAAGAGCGUUGCGUAACAUGUCAAUGCUCGAAUUCUCUGUUCCUUUUGGUUUUAGUUAAAUAAUAUCUUAUUAGCCUUCUUAUAUCUGUUGCAUUCACAAUAACAUUUCAAAACUUAACAUACACCAUCACGAGUUGACCGUUAUUAUUUCACAUAUUGAUUUUGUGUGUUUAUUUUAAUUGGCUUAUGUUCGACCAAUUCCCUAUUUCCAUUCUCUUUUUCCAAUCGUACUACAAUCCCGACCUAUUUUUGCCCGAAGUUGACCCAACGAAUUCAACUAAUAUAUACUGGGUUUGUACUUACAUAAGCAACACGACGGAUGCCACUCAUGAAGCAGGAGCUUUGCGUUUUGUAUACUACUGUUGGUCUUUUGGUCGUUUUCUUUAUUUGCAAUGGCGUUGUCAGUUUAUUUCCAUCCUCUCUAAUAUAAUUUCAAUCAGAGAAAAAUAACAGUUCUACGCAAUGUAUAAAUUAGUGUUAUGAUAACUUUCGAAGACCGUUCUGUAGUUGUUGAACGACCUUGAACUCUGAUAACUUUGCAGAUAUUUUUCUCACUGAAAUGAUCAUAUUGUUUGACAAUACAAUGAAUUAUGAUUACAAUUUCCUUAACUUUAAUACCUACAGCUAGUAUUCUGUGUUGUUCUUACAAUAGGUAUUACACUGGGCAUCACUUCAUAAUGUAAGUCAACAUACAAUUAAUAAAUCUCAUAGUUAAAGUGUGGGAAAUAAAUAUAUUCUCAUAAAAGUUUGGCAUUCGCAUUAAUUUUAUAAUGUCAAGUCAUUUAAACAGUCAUCGUUCUGUGUUUUUUGCUUGGAAUUUUAAUAACAUUUAUUUCGGAAUUAUUUAGGAGAAAAUUGCUUAUACAUUCGAAAAUGUAAAACCCUAAACUAACAAGAUCGUCAGAUAUCUCAACAGAACUAUGUAGAAAAAGAUAAAAAAUAGCAGUUAGAUAUCAGACAAACAGACUAUUUGAAAUUAACCUUUCCUUUUAGUUUUGCCUACUUAAUAUACUAAAAUUAAAAAAAAAUAUUAUUUUCAAAAUGUGUGUUACUCUGCCUUUUGAUGCAUUAUGCAUACUAAUGAACGUAUUUAUUUCUUAAAGUACAGAAAGAGAGACUGCAGAUCAACAUCAGCAACAGUGGACUCGUUAUAUUAACACGACUAAUUUGAGAAUGGAAGACUUAAGAAGGGCAUGCUAUCUUGUUGCUUUUAUCCGUGGCAUAAACAGCUGAAUACAAUGUCUUAUUUAGAAAAUGCGGUUUGAUAUAGAAUUCAGAUUUGUUUUUAAAGGGACACUUGCUGUAAAAUUCACCAAUUUGACUCAAAUUCUCAUAUUAGAU
RNAcentral lists this long non-coding RNA (1656 nucleotides) under Mytilus galloprovincialis (Mediterranean mussel). The record is from RNAcentral. Lineage: Eukaryota; Metazoa; Mollusca; Bivalvia; Mytilida; Mytilidae.